This is a long non-coding RNA of Gopherus flavomarginatus (Mexican gopher tortoise), 1937 nucleotides long. RefSeq lists it as uncharacterized. The transcript is spliced from 2 exons. The record is from RefSeq and is a predicted model, not a curated record. NCBI's taxonomy places the organism in Eukaryota, Metazoa, Chordata, Testudines, Testudinidae.
UGUGGGAAGGAGCUGAAAAGAGCACUGGGGCUGCGGUACAGCGCUUGCAUACACUUUCUUUGGCUUGUUUUGCUGGAAGAGGUAGCAGGGCGUGAUUGUUAAUCAGAGGUCAGUGGGUGGGUUUCUGCAAACUAGGAGUGUACAGGGAACUGUCUUUGAACAGAUGGAAGGAGAGGAACCAGCGAGAGGAAGGAGGCUGAAAGACUUCUCUGGCUUUGAACAGAAUUAUGUGUUAAUGGUUCUUGCUUUGAAUUCCUCGAUUGGAGUCAUUUCAGGGAAGUGAUUCUCACUUAGUGACCUAGUUCUCAAAGUCAUGUGAAUGGUGUUUGGUGCGUGUCUGGGAGCUCGUCAGGGCAAGGUAGAAGGUGGUGGGUGCAGAGGGGCUGUGUAACAUCCAAGGGUAUCUGCAUUACUUUUCAGCUGUUUAGAGUUUAGAUCAAAGGGUAUGUUCCCGGAAUAGGCAUUCUAUGGCACAUGUGCCAAAGGCAGCAUAAGAGCUGAUUUUCAGUAGCACUCUCACUGCCCUGGUCCUGGCUCUGCAUUUUAAUUUAUUUUUAAAUGAAGCUUCUUAAAACAUUUGAAAAACCUUGUUUACUUUACAUACAAUAGUUUAGUUAUAUAUUAAAGGCUUAUAGAAAGAGAUCUCCUAAAAAUAUUAAAAUGUAUUAUUUGCACAUAGAGCCAGAAAUUAGAGCGAAUAAAUGAAGAUUUGGCACAUGCCUUCUGAAAGGUUGUCGACCCCUGGUAUAUUCAAAUUACCCAUGGGAUUGGUGGGUAAUAAUUGAUCUGUUGGGCUUUGAUUUAUUGUGUCUUGUCUGGAUGUAAGAAAUCAAUCCCCAAAUGUGCUCCUGUUCACUCUGGAACUUUACCAGGGCAAGAAGUGGAUGGGGGAGCCACAGCUGUCAAUCCUGUGCUGUGAGGACAAGAGCACAGAACCAGAAGCUGCAAAAGCAAAAUCAGGCAAGGAGGCAACAGCAGUGCGAUGAUGAGAGUGAUGAGGACAUUGACAUGGUCAUAGACUUCUCACAAAGUACGAGCCGGGCAAUGUGCCCCGGCAAUGUGCACAUCAUGCUGAUGAGCUCUGCAUGGUCACCUGUGCUGAUCAGCUCGCCACACUGGCCAAACAGGACAUGAAAUUCAAAAGUUUGUGACCCUUUUCCUGUCUACCUGGCCAGUGCAUCUGAGGUGAGAGCGCUGUCCAGAGCGGUCACAAUGGAGCACUCUGGGAUAGCUCCUGGAAGCCAAUACUGUCGAAUUGCACCCACACUACCCUAAAUUCAACCCAGCAAGGCCGAUUUCAGUGCUAAUCCCCUCAUUGGAGAUGGAGUAAAGAAAUCAAUUUAAAGAGCCUUUAAAUUGAAAAAAAGGGCUUUGUUGUGUGGAUGGGUCCAGGGUUAGAGCGUGGUAACGCUGCUAAAUUCAACCUAAAGUCAUAGUGUAGACCAGGCCUCAGAGGGAUUUUAUAGCUACUGACUGGCUGGGUGUCCAAAAAAGGGAGUGGGAACUCUGGUAUUAAGUGGACACCCUAUCUUAGCUGUCUAUGGCUGUAUUGCUUGUAGAUUUACAUAUUCUGUGUUGAUGUUACCAAAUGGAGUAUUUUGUAGCUGGCUGCUAUCAUUUGUUUAACUUGUAUGAAAUAUGAAUAUGCUCCCUCAGACUUAACCACCCGCCUUUCACACACUCCCUGCCCCUCGCUCUCUGGGGUGGGAAAAAGUCACCAGCAUGUGUGUCCAUUGGAUUCUUUUUAUUUAAUUACUUCUCAUUGUUAAAUUAUUUAUGAAUCUUUCUUAAAUUUCAUUGCAGUGUGUUUUCUUCCUGCCACUGUCACCUGGCAGCUCAGGGAUGUGAGAUUCUCCUCCAUUACAUUUCCACCCAUGGAUAAAAGACGUGAGAUCACACGUCAGUACCUUUGGAAAUAAAAGCAACCAGGAAACAAA